UCGUAACAAGGUUUCUGUAGGUGAACCUGCAGAAGGAUCAUUAGUGAAAGUUUCGGGCCUGCCAUACGGACGCAAACACGUCUCUGGCGCCCAUCACUAUAUCCAUACCAACCCCUGUGCACUGUGAUGACGAAUGUCAUCGAACAAAAAAAAACUCGUAUGGUUGAAUGUACGUGAAAUUGUAGGUAUAGCCUACGAACUAUACACAACUUUCGACAACGGAUCUCUUGGUUCUCCCAUCGAUGAAGAACGCAGCGAAACGCGAUAGGUAAUGUGAAUUGCAGAAUUCCGUGAAUCAUCGAAUCUUUGAACGCACCUUGCGCUCCAUGGUAUUCCGUGGAGCAUGCCUGUUUGAGUGCCGCGAAUUCUCCCUCCCCUUACGGUGGCCGAAAGGCCGAAGUAGGGCGGACGGGGUAGGAUGGGUGUUUGCUGCCUGGGGAUUGUACCAGGCUCGCCCGAAAUGCAUAAGCGCCAGGACCCUCGCUACCGCUCUCUAGGGAAGAGUGGCUAAGCGACCGCUGAGCAUGGCAUGAUACGUCAUUUGCUGUGUGUGGGCGGCCGGUUGGAGAGGUGUCUGCUUUACCAGCCCUAUUUUAAUUCUGGUCUCAAAUCAGGUAGGAUCACCCGCUGAACCUAAGCAUAU
This 643-nucleotide unclassified non-coding RNA is filed under the name Malassezia sympodialis. RNAcentral describes it as "sequence contains 18S rRNA gene, ITS1, 5.8S rRNA gene, ITS2, 28S rRNA gene". The stretch from base 208 to 361 matches the Rfam family "5.8S ribosomal RNA". Lineage: Eukaryota; Fungi; Basidiomycota; Malasseziomycetes; Malasseziales; Malasseziaceae. The record is from RNAcentral.